This 414-nucleotide ribosomal RNA is filed under the name uncultured microorganism. Its description in RNAcentral is "bacterial SSU rRNA". It matches the Rfam family "Archaeal small subunit ribosomal RNA", at positions 459 to 872 of the family's 1478-position model. The record is from RNAcentral.
CAGCCGCCGCGGUAAUACCGGCGGCCCGAGUGGCGGUCACUAUUAUUGGGCUUAAAACGUCCGUAGCCGGGUUGGGAAGUCCUCCGGGAAAUCUGGCCGCUUAACGGUCAGAAUGCCGGAGGAUACUCCCAGCCUAGGGAGCGGGAGAGGCCGAGGGUAUUCCCGGAGUAGGGGUGAAAUCCUAUAAUCCCGGGAGGACCACCUGUGGCGAAGGCGCUCGGCUGGAACGCGUCCGACGGUGAGGGACGAAGGCCAGGGGAGCAAACCGGAUUAGAUACCCGGGUAGUCCUGGCUGUAAACGAUGCGGACUUUGUGUCGGACAAGCUAUGAGCUUGUCCGGUGCCGGAGGGAAACCGUUAAGUCCGCCGCCUGGGGAGUACGGCCGCAAGGCUGAAACUUAAAGGAAUUGGCGGG